AUGAAUGCCUUUAUUUCGCUUGGUCUAGCCAACAAAAAGGCAAUGACCAUAAAACAGGUAUGUCUUCAAAAACCAGGAGAAUAACAUACAACAAAUUACGCAGGAGAAAACCAACUUCACCACUGACAGUAGGAAUAAGCACACAAGCAGGCGGGCACUGGAAGUUUAAAUAGACUAUAAAUUAACCAAAAUAAGCAACAGGUGAAACCAAUCAAGACAAAACCAACAGAAAAAGAAAAAGGGAUCGGUGGCAGCUAGUAGGCCGGUGACGAUGACCUCCGAGCGCCGCCUGAACAGGGAGAAGGAGCCACCUUCGGUGGAAGUCGUGACCGGGACAUACAUACACCUCCCCCUUAACUUUUCCUGAAGCUGCCGUUCGGUUUUGAUGAUGUAUAGAAAAACAGUUACAUGUACAUAUACUAUAUAUACAGUAUUAUCCAUGUCCUUGUUCAGCCACGACUCUGAGAAACACAGGAUAUUACAGUUUGUCAGUUCCUGUUGAUAUUACAUCUGACUGGAAAAUACAUGUAAAUAUCCUGAGUGCAUUGAGUUAUACAGUACCACUUGGCAGUUUUACCAGCCAUUGUUAUUCAUUGAUUUACCCUCACACAUGCAUUAAUCAACCAUUAUUUACAUGACAUCUUUACAAUGCUUACAUUGGCUCUUCUGUACUCUCGAUCUGUUUCUCUGUAGCAGUGUUUUAUACACGUGGGAUGUAUUUUACAGUAAUCACCACCAUCAAUUCCCAUUGGCUCAACUUAUUCACUACUCUCUCUCAUACUCUUCAAGAUGUAUGAUAUCAAUUUCUACGGCCUGGAGACGUUGGAGACGUUUAUAAUGAACAUCUAACCUGCUGUGCCCCCCUGAAAGACUUGACUCAUUGUGGAAUGCACUCUUUCCAGGAAAUCAGAACAUGCAUGUCUGUGACUCAUAGGUGGCCUACGUAAUGUACACUGAGUAUAACAAAACAUUAGGAACACCUUCCUAAUAUUGAUUUGCAACCCCUCUUUUCUCUUUUGCCCUUGGAACAGCCUCAAUUCGUCAAGGCAGGGACUCUACAAGAUGUCGAAAGCGUUCAACAAGGAUGCCGGCCCAUGUUGACUCCAAUACUUCCCACAGUUGUGUCAGGUUGGCAGGAUGUCCCAUGGGUGGUGACCCAUGUUGACUCCAAUACUUCCCACAGUUGUGUCAGGUAGGCAGGAUGUCCCGUGGGUGGUGGCCCAUGUUGACUCCAAUACUUCCCACAGUUGUGUCAGGUUGGCAGGAUGUCCCGUGGGUGGUGGCCCAUGUUGACUCCAAUACUUCCCACAGUUGUGUCAGGUUGGCAGGAUGUCCCGUGGGUGGUGGCCCAUGUUGACUCCAAUACUUCCCACAGUUGUGUCAGGUUGGCAGGAUGUCCCGUGGGUGGUGGCCCAUGUUGACUCCAAUACUUCCCACAGUUGUGUCAGGUUGGCAGGAUGUCCCGUGGGUGGUGGCCCAUGUUGACUCCAAUACUUCCCACAGUUGUGUCAGGUUGGCAGGAUGUCCCAUGGGUGGUGGCCCAUGUUGACUCCAAUACUUCCCACAGUUGUGUCAGGUUGGCAGGAUGUCCCGUGGGUGGUGGCCCAUGUUGACUCCAAUACUUCCCACAGUUGUGUCAGGUUGGCAGGAUGUCCCAUGGGUGGUGGCCCAUGUUGACUCCAAUACUUCCCACAGUUGUGUCAGGUUGGCAGGAUGUCCCAUGGGUGGUGGCCCAUGUUGACUCCAAUACUUCCCACAGUUGUGUCAGGUUGGCAGGAUGUCCCAUGGGUGGUGGCCCAUGUUGACUCCAAUACUUCCCACAGUUGUGUCAGGUUGGCAGGAUGUCCCAUGGGUGGUGGCCCAUGUUGACUCCAAUACUUCCCACAGUUGUGUCAGGUUGGCAGGAUGUCCCAUGGGUGGUGGCCCAUGUUGACUCCAAUACUUCCCACAGUUGUGUCAGGUUGGCAGGAUGUCCCAUGGGUGGUGGCCCAUGUUGACUCCAAUACUUCCCACAGUUGUGUCAGGUUGGCAGGAUGUCCCAUGGGUGGUGGCCCAUGUUGACUCCAAUACUUCCCACAGUUGUGUCAGGUUGGCAGGAUGUCCCAUGGGUGGUGGCCCAUGUUGACUCCAAUACUUCCCACAGUUGUGUCAGGUUGGCAGGAUGUCCCAUGGGUGGUGGCCCAUGUUGACUCCAAUACUUCCCACAGUUGUGUCAGGUUGGCAGGAUGUCCCGUGGGUGGUGGCCCAUGUUGACUCCAAUACUUCCCACAGUUGUGUCAGGUUGGCAGGAUGUCCCGUGGGUGGUGGCCCAUGUUGACUCCAAUACUUCCCACAGUUGUGUCAGGUUGGCAGGAUGUCCCGUGGGUGGUGGCCCAUGUUGACUCCAAUACUUCCCACAGUUGUGUCAGGUUGGCAGGAUGUCCCGUGGGUGGUGGCCCAUGUUGACUCCAAUACUUCCCACAGUUGUGUCAGGUUGGCAGGAUGUCCCGUGGGUGGUGGCCCAUGUUGACUCCAAUACUUCCCACAGUUGUGUCAGGUUGGCAGGAUGUCCCGUGGGUGGUGGCCCAUGUUGACUCCAAUACUUCCCACAGUUGUGUCAGGUUGGCAGGAUGUCCCGUGGGUGGUGGCCCAUGUUGACUCCAAUACUUCCCACAGUUGUGUCAGGUUGGCAGGAUGUCCCGUGGGUGGUGGCCCAUGUUGACUCCAAUACUUCCCACAGUUGUGUCAGGUUGGCAGGAUGUCCCGUGGGUGGUGGCCCAUGUUGACUCCAAUACUUCCCACAGUUGUGUCAGGUUGGCAGGAUGUCCCGUGGGUGGUGGACCGUUCCUGAUACA
Long non-coding RNA from Oncorhynchus keta (chum salmon), 2834 nucleotides. RefSeq lists it as uncharacterized. The record is from RefSeq and is a predicted model, not a curated record. The transcript has 4 exons. Lineage: Eukaryota; Metazoa; Chordata; Actinopteri; Salmoniformes; Salmonidae.